UUAAGGAAAAAUAAAAGAUGCAAUUGUAGGUAACAAAUAAGCAAUUCUUCAAUCGGGGUAAAAACCAGACAAAGAUAUCGCACCUUCAAAUGAAUAGAUCCAUAAACACCUAAACUAGCAUAGAACACUUGUACAAAGUCGACGUCAAAGCAUUCCAAUAGAUUCAGGAUCCAUUGGCUUAAGGAAAGUUGAAACCCUUCAACUUAGUCUUUAUCCACUUCAAAUCCAACACUUGAAUUUCUCCGAUCUAAACAUUCGGUGAUUCGCUUGUGUUUUUGAAAAUAUUUUUGUUGAUCCACCACGAGGUCGCUCUCCCCACCAUUCGGGAUAGCCAAUCAAUUGAAAAUAACUAUCUGGAUCAUGUUCGGAACGGUUGUAGUGACUACACAACAUGGAAUAUUGUAAUUUGAGACUAUCUAUUUGUUUGAGAUUAAAAAUAUUGUUGUUUUUUAUUGAUAUUGUGAGUGAUAUGGGAAAGAAUGUUAUGCCAUGCGAAUAUAAAUAGACAAACAAAACUACCACAAAUACAGAGGAUGGAAAUUAGCAUUCAUAAUUUUAUAGAAUGUAAUCCUUUUCGCAAGGGAUUUAAAUAUAUGAGAAUUACAAUGAUAUUCACAAAAUUAAUGCUCAAUAUAUUGAUGACAAAAAUAUUGAUGGAUGUUAGUUCUUAUUU
This 673-nucleotide long non-coding RNA is filed under the name Lathyrus oleraceus (garden pea). RNAcentral's name for it is "Pisum sativum (pea) long non-coding RNA (PSAT_LNC009603)". Lineage: Eukaryota; Viridiplantae; Streptophyta; Magnoliopsida; Fabales; Fabaceae. The record is from RNAcentral.